Molecule: ribosomal RNA, 401 nt
Filed under: uncultured bacterium
Lineage: Bacteria
Description: bacterial SSU rRNA
Rfam family: Bacterial small subunit ribosomal RNA
Source: RNAcentral
AUUUGGCGGACGGGUGAGUAACACGUGGGAACCUGCCCGAGAGUGGGGAAUAACUCCUCGAAAGAGGAGCUAAUACCGCAUACGGUCGAAAGACUAAAGGAGCAAUCCGCUUUCGGAGGGGCCUGCGGCUGAUUAGCUAGUUGGUGGGGUAAAGGCCUACCAAGGCAGUGAUCAGUAGCUGGUCUGAGAGGAUGGUCAGCCACACUGGGACUGAGAUACGGCCCAGACUCCUACGGGAGGCAGCAGUGGGGAAUAUUGGGCAAUGGGGGCAACCCUGACCCAGCAACGCCGCGUGAAGGAAGAAGGCCUUCGGGUUGUAAACUUCUUUGACCAGGGACGAAACAAAUGACGAUACCUGGAAAACAAGCCACGGCUAACUACGUGCCAGCAGCCGCGGUAAU